GGGAAGAGACAACCCAACUUUCUGUCUCUAUCAUUGGUUGGGUGUGGUUCCUUUGAGCUCUUAAUUUUCCACACCCUUUCUGAUUUUUUCCUUCUGAACUCCUCCUUUUUAAGAUUCACCUCAGACAGCACAUCCAAAGUUCCUGGAGUCAACUCCAUCAGAAUUCUCAGAAUCUCGCUUCUCUUCCAUCUCUCUGUCAUGUAUCAUGGUUUCCCUCCAUUCUUUCAUUGCCUGCAUGUGUGUUGCUGUUUCUGCCUCUCAGUUUCCCACUUCUGUAAGCUUUCACACCGCCACACUGCAUUCUCCUGUGGAGAAGCACUGGGAUUCCCCUGACAGCCAGAAGAUGCAUUUGCCAGCAGCGGUCAAGCACACCUCCCAGGAUUCUGCUUUUGCAGGCCAAGGUCACUCUUCGCCAGAAGCAAGAUCAGAGGUAAAUCCUUCUAUUUUUCUUUUGUCAUCACAGUUCAUCUUGAUGUCUUAGAAAUGAUACUAAUGAUUCUUUAUUCUAAGCCUGAACACGAAGGUGAAAGAUAAAAUAAACUCAACAUUUUUAUCUUCAUUUUGUCAGCAGAAUUGACUUUUUUUUUAAAGGUCUAGUUUGCUUAUAUUUAUGUGUACAUUUGUGUAUUUGCCACAAAGGUAAGGAAGUCAAAGAAGGAUAUCAGAAGAAGGUGUCAGAUCCCUGGAACUACCUGACUUGGAUGCUGGGAACCGAACUCAGGUUCCAAACACAUAAACAAAAACCCCAAAUGAAGCCAAAGCAAAGCGACUACAUUUAUUCUUUUUAAGGGUGGGGAGGAAAGGGUUUAUUUCAGCUUACAGGUCCCAGUCACAGGCCGCCAUGAAAAGAAGUGAAGGCGGGAAGCCAGGACAGGAAUCGAGAGGUCGGAACUGAAGUAGAAGCCAUGGAACAAUACUGCUUUCCAGCUUGUUCCCUAUGCCUCUUAGUGUCCCUCUCCAUCCUUCAACCUCUCCCACGUGCCCUGCCCUUUGCUUUCUUUCAAAUCCAUGGCCUCUUUUUCUUAAUUAUUGUUGUGUGCAUGUGUCAUGUAUGUUUGUGUGUGUAUAUGUGUAUUCCUAAAUACACAAUAAACCACCUGCUCAGUCUGUAAAGAGGCUUGUAUGUAUGUUUCCAGGACUGAGCAUCUGGCAUUGGAUAACCCGUCCCUGUGUUAUUCCCUGGGGAAGGCUAUUGCUCCCACUCUCAAGACUCCUUAGUUGCCUGGAAUUCUUUGACUAGGGCUGAAGCCUCAUAAGCUUUCUUCUUUGCACGUGAGCGCAUCUAUUGGUGUCGGCCUCUCUCAGGUUAUUUUUAGGCAGCCAUGUUGGUGAGCAGAACUUUCUUCUCUACAGCACUGUUCUAGUGCUAUUGAAUUGCUUUUGUUCUUGGCUGCAGGUUCUCUGAGCUCCUAGGCAUGCUUUAAAAGGCUGAGCUCAGAGGAGAGUUCCCUAAGCAACCCCAUUGAUUGCUUUAGUUUUCCUUCCAUCUCUAAUAAUUUUUAUUGUAACGUUAGAAUUUAAUUUUCUCUUCCUUCUGGGCCUAUCUGGAUUCUUUAGGAAAACAAAACAAAGACUCACUGGACCUGGGACCAAACACGCACGAUUCCUUUGAACUUUCAAAAAUUUGUUUUUCCAUACUGUGGGAUGCAUUGGCAAUAAAGCGCAACACUUGCGUCUUCUUAAUUGAAUUUCCUUCCUUCUCCCAAGCUUAGCCCUUCUUUGUGUUCUACAGCAGUCCUUUCUUGACUCUCAGAAUCAAGUUCCGAAUAAAUGCCUCCAAGCUGGCAGGCUUCGUACCUUUGUUUGUCUCUGCUCCUCUGCAGAGAUCCUGGGGAAUCCCAAGCCCUAGAUGCUUAGCAAGGGCCACACAGGGCUUUGCUGCGAUUAUAUAGGCAUGAGUAGGAAAUGCCAGCAGACCGAGUGGCUUCAGGAGAGGUACUCACUCUCCCGACACUGAGCUAAAGGGGACAAAUCACUCUCAUCCCAGUGACUGAGGCCAACAUUCCUCUUCUGUGGUCUUCGGUACCCAGAGGUAUUCUUCUGAGGGAUUGGAGGAGACAAAGUACCAAGACGGGAGAACUUGCAAACACAGAAAAACCAGCUUUGAAUUCUAUUGAUGAGAUUUCUAAGCCACACUCCAAGAGAAAGAUGAGUGUUACCAUCCUGGCGGCCGUGGAUUUUGUGGUCCUUAAAGGAACUGGUUUUCUUGGUACAUUCCUGUCAGCUAAACAAAUAAAGGUUCUUUGAAAAGUCUACUUUUAAAUGCUAAUGGAAAUAUUGAUUUUUUUUUCACCUCUGCUUUUUUUUUUUUUUAAAGCAGAAAAUUCCUAUUUACCUUCCUCUCUCCAUUCUGAGUUCCGCUCUCUUCCGUGUUAGUGUCCCAGGUAAGUGCCAAGCCAAGGUGACUAAGUGGGUGUCAGGCCACUUGAAGAAACAGACGGAAGACUUAACUAAUGGCAUAGGUCUUCUGAGUCGAUGGGCCCCGUCUCUUCUAAUGUCUAUCAAUUCACCACAGGAACCUGACAGAGUCAGACAUUAAGUCAAAUUUAAAAGCCCAAAGACAAAAGAUGGGGGAGAGGUCCAAUUUCAGAGUCAGGUAAAAACAUCAUAAUUCAGGGUAAAUCUUUAUUAUUGAUUUAUAGCCACAGACUGUUGUCUAAAGGCUUCCUCUUUAAAUUAAGAAUACUAAUGAUUUUGCAUCCUGAAAUAAUGCAAAAGGUUGUAGAUUUCAGAAAAGGGGAUUAAAUGUGUUACUCAACCGGAAAGUGCCAAUAAGUAGAUACCGGGUCUGUUUCCUCAGCAACUCGCCAGCAUCUUGAGAAGCCUUGCACUGGGAUCUGUGACGGAAUAACCUGUUUGCUGAGGCUCCUACAACAUCGGAACACUUUCUGAUAACCAGAUAGAUUGAGACUACAAGUUUUGCCCAAGUAGUUUGGAGACAGGAGGAGGCGACGCAGACCCCAUGCAAGGCAUGUUGGGAAGCCUGGGCCUGGGCAAACUGCUGCUCAUAUUUUAGAGAAAAUCAGUAGUUGCCAGGAAACCAAGGAAAAAGAAAGGAUACUCCCUAUCCUUCCCCUACAGGUGUUGCUAGGAAAUUGUCAUGGUGUGAUUUGCUACUGAGCGGUUUAAGUUACCUUGUGUCUCUGUGUCCCUGCUCAUGCAGCUCACAAACCAGGUCUGUGAUAUCCUAGAGUGGCAGGGUUUCUUGCCACCAUUACACAAAGAGUUUGUUUUGGGCCUGCAGACCCCUGCUGGGCGUCCUCUAAUGCAAUUAAGUUCUGGCACAGUAUACCCAGAGACAGGCUCAGAUCCCCAUCUGCCAAACUGCCCCCCUACCUUGAGAUACCAAACACUGUUGUUUUUAUCUGGACAUCUGACUGGCCAGACGUGGGAGUUCCCAUCAUUCCCUCAAAGAGUAGUUCAAAGCAUGGAGCAAAAGACAUUUACUGGUUUACUAUACAGAGCACAGAACAUUCUUAGAAAGAGAAAGACAGGAUGCAGGGUUGCAGAUAGUCUCUCUCCCUUAGGACUACCCCACGCUACCAAAGCUGAUUCUAGAGUUCAGCUCCUCACAGGUUCUUCAGCUCUUUGAUUUGGCUGUGACUGAAGCACAAAUGACCAGGCUGAAAUGAAGUUGGACAAGAUGGUUAUCUUGUCUGGUGCAAACAGACCUAAAUGGACAGCUCAGAUUCCUGCAGGCCUUCUGUGCGGCGUUCCUUCCUUGUGGGCAUGGGCCAAGACCCGCUUCUGAGAUAAAAGGUCUUAUCAUUGAAGAUUUGUGGCCAUCUUCUCGGCAGCCAGGCGGGAACCCAAAGGUAGAAAGGUGAGAUAAGAUUUAAGUGUUGAUACCCUGCCCCAAGAAGAGAAGAUUUAGCCAGAAUGGCUUGCCUUACUAAGGGAAAAUAUACCAGGAACUGUGGUCAAAAGCAAGGACCGCAUAAUAGUAUCUACCGUACCAUCACAGUUGCUCAGGGCCCGCAGGGGGACCUUUCCCUAUGCAUAUGACACAUGGACUUGUCAGGUGAGUGCUGUGCAGGUGAAAAGGCAUCCUCCAAGAAGUACAGCAAGGCUGCUAUGCGGAUGCACGCCCCUGCUCACUCUUGUGCAAUGACUUAACAGUCAUUUAGGCUGGCCUGAAUUUCCUUUGUGGUUCUUUCAGACCGCAGCCAGCUCAGAGAGACAGAGGCUGGGCUAUUCCCUCCUGAAAACAGCGUCUACUGUUCAAGCGGCAGACACUUUCAUCUCUCCCCAUCGACUCUGUGAGAUCUUUAACUUGCUGUUUCUUAGAGUUCUAAAGCCAAGGAGAAAUGAGGCCUCUGACAACUUCAAAGAGGUCUUUGGAAGUGUCUAUCCCCAGACCCUCACUGAAGCAUUAAGGUACACAGCACAGGCCCCCUCUGGUCUCUGUCCUUGAGACCUCUGGACCAGAGGACGGCAAGCAGACUGCAGCUGCCUCCAGUUCCAAAGUCUUUUGCUGUCUUCUGGCUCCUAAUGAAGCUGAGCAUUUUCUAUGGAAGUCUUCACCCUUUUAUCAACAAGACACUGGUAGAGGCUCUGGGAGUAUCUCACUGAAAGGAUGUCUGCUGAGCUGUAUGAGGCCUUGAGUUCAAGUUCCAGUACCAAAAAAAGUAAACAAAAUCCAAUCUAAGGAAACUCCGCUCAUGCACACCCUUUUGUUUUGGUAAAUACAGUGUACCCGAGACCAUGGUCAAUACAGAAACCAGAAAGAGGAGUUGCAGAGUCUCAGUCAGGUGUUGGAGCUGGUGUUUGGGCCCAGGGCUUUCAUUCAGGGGACAGCUUGCUGACUUUCACACAACUUUUAAUGAACCUAAACCAGUGGCUCUCCAUUUUCCUAACGCUGUGACCCUUUAAUACAGUUCCUCACACUGUGGUGACCCCAACCAUAAAAUCUUUAUCAUUGCUACUCUGUAACUGUAACUUUGCUACUGUUAUGAAUUGCAAUGCAAAUAUCUGGUGUUCAGGACAUCUGAUAAUGUGACACCUAAGAAAAGGUCAGUUGACCUCCCAAAGGGGUCAUGACCUAUAGGUUGAGAGCCACACUGGUCUAAAUACUGUUGGCCUUGGGAGUGUCCAGUUGAAGUUUGAAAACUAUAGAUUAGUGGUUCUUGGCCUGGCUGUGCUCCAGACACAUGGGGUUCAUUAAAGGGAUGGCUGGGAGAUGCUCAGCGGAAAGGUGCUUGCUGCUGGACCCCAGGACCUCUGCUUGAUACCCGGGAGUCACAGAGUGAGAGGAGACAACUGGCCUUCUCCCCAGUUAUCCUCUGACCUCCACACAUGCAUCAUGGGGUGUCCAUGUGUGAGACUGCUCUCUUGCGUGCGCAUCCACAUACACAGAUAAAAAGAAAGACUGUAGUUAAAAAAUGAAAAAAGAAAGAAGGAAGAGUUGAGAAUAGUGAAUACACAUGGUUUUUUAAGAAACAAGCUAGACAAAUUUGUAGUGAACGACUGCUUCCUCCCCUCUCUGCCUUGGAUUAUCUAGUCUCCAAAUUCUGCUCUACAACUGAAAACUACAUAGAUGCCAAUGUUUGCCUCAUAGUUUCUGUGGUGUUUUGUGUGUUUUUAACGAGUUAUCAAGGUGAUUCUAUUGCCCUGGCAGAUCAUGAAAAUGCGGUAGAAGGGUCAGGAUGCCCCCCUGCAGUGGAUAUACUUCAUGCCGCAUGGACUGGCGCUCUGAGUACCACUUCAGGGUUAGAAACCCCUUCCUGUGCUUGGGAGUGUGAGGGGAGGCUUUGCUUUGCAGAUGGUGUUUGAUAUAACAAGGUCUGACUCCCCAGGCUUUGACUUUACAGGGGUGCCAAAUCAGGAGCCAUUCAGUUGACCCUCGGUCCCCUUUUUCGUUCUUUCAAUGCUGGAGACCAAGUCUGAGCCCUUGCAUAUACUAGGCUCCUUUUCUCCUACCAGACUGCAUCCUAGACUCGAUACUUCUAACUUUGAAUUUUUCUUCUUGCGCAGGCUAGGAUGUCCUCUGCAAUACCCUUGGGAUGCUUAAGCAUUGCGGUCGUUGAACAUUUGCAGCACAUCUCAGCUCCUGGUCAGCUAUUCAGUCAAUAGGAGGACGAACUGGCUAAAUAUCAUACACUGCAGUAUUCCGUCAUCAGCAAAUUCUGCAGAUCCUCCAAUAUUUUAAAAGAAGAUAUGAGAGAUCUACCAGAACCUGAAUACUUCAAGGGAGGCUGAUUCCUACACGUCUGGCAGACUCUCCCACCCACCAAAUAUGGACAAAAAGCACCAUGGUGAUGAGCAUCACUUUGACUCUCCUGUGACUGCAGUGAAAUAAACCUUUGUCCUGAGCUAACACUGACCCAGGAGUGAAAGAACUGAGACUCGUGUCAAUGUAUUGAGCCUGGCAUCCAACAAUGCUGUCGCCCUCACUCUGUCUCAGCUUCCUAAUA
Molecule: non-coding RNA, 6413 nt
Organism: Myodes glareolus (Bank vole)
Lineage: Eukaryota; Metazoa; Chordata; Mammalia; Rodentia; Cricetidae
Source: RefSeq, a predicted model, not a curated record